CCGGCACGGGUGAGUAACACGUAUCCAACCUACCGAUAACUCUGGAAUAGCCUUCUGAAAGGAAGAUUAAUACAAGAUGGCAUCAUGAGUCCGCAUGUUCACAUGAUUAAAGGUAUUCCGGUAGACGAUGGGGAUGCGUUCCAUUAGAUAGUAGGCGGGGUAACGGCCCACCUAGUCUUCGAUGGAUAGGGGUUCUGAGAGGAAGGUCCCCCACAUUGGAACUGAGACACGGUCCAA
RNAcentral lists this ribosomal RNA (237 nucleotides) under uncultured bacterium. Its description in RNAcentral is "partial 16S ribosomal RNA". It matches the Rfam family "Bacterial small subunit ribosomal RNA", at positions 100 to 334 of the family's 1533-position model. The record is from RNAcentral.